Leptinotarsa decemlineata (Colorado potato beetle) is the source of this 426-nucleotide long non-coding RNA. RefSeq lists it as uncharacterized. NCBI's taxonomy places the organism in Eukaryota, Metazoa, Arthropoda, Insecta, Coleoptera, Chrysomelidae. The record is from RefSeq and is a predicted model, not a curated record.
AUUGAAAGUAAAUGCGUCGAAAAUAGUAACAAAAUUCCCAUUAAACGUCUUAAUUUACAAGAAAAAUUGAAAUAAUGAAGUUAUUUGAUGAUGGUGCUCUAAAUAGCAGACAAGUUGCUAAAUAAUUCAACAGAAGACAACCGCAACGAAAUCGUAUUCGACAUGAAACGGCAUCCUCCGUGAUUGAACUUUCUACUGGAAUUCCUAUCUAUAAAACAGAACGAUCAACCAACCAGGGAAUAUCAUAAUUCACUUCCAUGACAGAGACUGUAUUAAUACAACAAACUGCAAUUGUGCUCCUAUAGAAAGAACAACAAUGAUUAAGUAUCUGUCAGUCAUCAUGGAUCAGCAGAUGUUGUAAAACUCUUAACUAAAAAAUUCUAUGAAUUGAGAAAUAUUCUGAAAUACAAAAAUUUGAUCACCAUA